This 755-nucleotide ribosomal RNA is filed under the name Zophoscolex atlanticus. Its description in RNAcentral is "partial large subunit ribosomal RNA". The stretch from base 314 to 755 matches the Rfam family "Eukaryotic large subunit ribosomal RNA", at positions 1 to 972 of the family's 3401-position model. The record is from RNAcentral. RNAcentral also lists the same sequence under 1 other name. Lineage: Eukaryota; Metazoa; Annelida; Clitellata; Crassiclitellata; Lumbricidae.
AGGCAAACGGAGAGGACCGUAUGGUCCGCCCGUCGGAUUCAGUCCGCCUGCGCGGCGCGAGCGUCGGUUGCGCAUCCCUCGUGGGAGCGUGCCGGCGUCUUGUCGUCGUGCGGCGGCCGUACUUUCGGCGGGCGGAGCGCCACGACCGGUUUGCGUGCGGCGAGAAACUCCCGGGUAAGGUGACCUUCGCCUCGGCGUCGGAACAUAUAGACUCGGCGAGCGCAGGCCCGUACGCAGACCGAGGAAGACCGUCGCGGAGCGGCGUCGACCGCCCGUCGUGGGCGCGCGUUCGACUCGGGGGGACUGGUUCCAGUGCCCUCGGACCGCGUGCGUCUAGCGGCGGGACGGCCCGGCGUCGCGCCUGGGGUCGGUGGCGAAACGGCCGGCAACCUGUCCGACCCGUCUUGAAACACGGACCAAGGAGUCUAACAUGUGCGCGAGUCGUUGGGCGUUACGAAACCCGAAGGCGCAAUGAAAGUGAAGGCCCGGUCUCGUGCCGGCCUGGGUGGGAUCCGGACGGUCGCGGCCGUCCGGCGCACCACCGGCCCGUCUCGUUAGCCGCGUCUAUGAGGCGGAGCAAGAGCGUACACGUUGGGACCCGAAAGAUGGUGAACUAUGCCUGAGUAGGACGAAGCCAGAGGAAACUCUGGUGGAGGUCCGCAGCGAUUCUGACGUGCAAAUCGAUCGUCAAACUUGGGUAUAGGGGCGAAAGACUAAUCGAACCAUCUAGUAGCUGGUUCCUGUCGAAGUUUCCC